UGGAGACAUUAAUAGUACCUCCCAUAAAAGAUCAUUGUGAGGAGGUGUCCAGUCAAGAAAUAUUUAUGGGCCCACUCCUGUGUGCCAGGAGCUGUAUUUAAAUAAGGAUUAGAUGAGAGAAUUUAUAGAAGAGUUGACAUGGUGUGUCCCAUAUUGCAACCCCCCCGACACUGGCAGGGGAAAGAGUGUUAGGCAGUCAGGAGGCAGGGCUGAUCUGGGAGUGAGUGUACCGGCCCAGGGGGAGUGAGCAGACUGUGCGUGAGGGGCGGGGACUGUGCUGACCUUGCUGAAUUCACAGGGCUGAACCCGUGAGGGGGAGCCAGGAAGCAGGCUGGACUUUAAAGUCUGGAAUGGAAGGGGAAUUCUGGUGUCAUCAUCAGUGUCCCAGUGCCAGAAUCCAAAGCUGCAGACACAGGCGCUCCCUAAAGUGACGAGUCAUUCCGCCCGGGAGAAAUGACACCGGGGGGGGCCCCCCUGUUGAGAACCACGGGCCAUGAGAAGAACACUGUGACUUGUCAGGGUCCCACUGACUUCAAACGGGAUUAGGGUUGGAGGCCCAAGUCCCCUGCCUCACUAUCUGAAAAUCCCAUGAAAGAGCCGGAGCCUCGUUCUGGGCAGCAGUGGACAAUGGCUCUUUGCCACCAGCCAGUGAAGAGUAAGUGAGAGCAAUGAUGAGGGCAGAGGUCUGAGGGGUCUGUGCCUGUGGGGGUCUCAGAUGGCAUGGAGAGGAGGGUCAAGGCUGGGAGGUCACAGUCAGGCAAGAUGAGCACGUGGAGGACUGGGGGCCCAUUCCCUCCGGACCCAGCCGGGCCUUGACCCUGGCUGCCCUGGGCUGAGCCUUGCUCUGGUCUUCCUGGUGGAUUAUUCUGGAGGACUUCCCAGGGAAGUUUGGAAGAAGCCCCUCCCCUGCCUUCAUGCCCCAGGAUGAGGGAGCCCAGGAUAGCAGUUUUUUCAAUCACAUGAGCCUCUCAGGCAGGCUGGCUCCUUUGGUGCCCAGGAGGCUGUGCCACAGUGCCCACAGCAUGAAGCAGGGGACCCCAACGUGCUGUGGGAGGACUGGGCUGAGAAGCAAAUCCUGAGAUAUAGCUUCUAGCUUUCCACCCAUGUAAGUUAGAAACCACAGCUGCAAGCUCAGUGCACUCCUUCCUCCAGCUCUCAGUAGUGUGUGUUACAUAAGAGGCAGCUGCAACUCAACAAAUCAUUACAAAACGAAUCCUAUGUAACCACCACCUGGGAUUCCCAGGUGGCUCAGUGGUAAAGAAUCCACCUGCCAAUGCUUGAGACGCAGGAGAUGUGGGUUUGAUCCCUGGUCAGGAAGAUCCCCUGAAGAAGGAAAUGGCAACCCACUCCAGUAUUCUUGCCUGGUAAAUCCCAUGGACAGACAAGCCUGGUGGGCUAAUGUGCAUAGGGUUGCAAAGAGUCAGACACGACUGAUGGACUGAGCAUGCAUGCAACCACCACCUAAGCCAUGAGGGGACCUUGGCCAACUCCCCUUCAUCCCUCUCUGAUAUCUCUUUCCUCCCCUAAAGUCGACAGUUAUGGCACAAUGAAGUGACCCAGAAUG
Bubalus bubalis (water buffalo) is the source of this 1564-nucleotide long non-coding RNA. RefSeq lists it as uncharacterized. The transcript has 2 exons. Lineage: Eukaryota; Metazoa; Chordata; Mammalia; Artiodactyla; Bovidae. The record is from RefSeq and is a predicted model, not a curated record.